This 434-nucleotide ribosomal RNA is filed under the name uncultured Clostridium sp. RNAcentral's name for it is "partial 16S ribosomal RNA". It matches the Rfam family "Bacterial small subunit ribosomal RNA", at positions 341 to 792 of the family's 1533-position model. The record is from RNAcentral. Lineage: Bacteria; Bacillati; Bacillota; Clostridia; Eubacteriales; Clostridiaceae.
ACGGAAGGCAGCAGUGGGGAAUAUUGCACAAUGGGCGAAAGCCUGAUGCAGCGACGCCGCGUGAGUGAUGAAGUAUUUCGGUAUGUAAAGCUCUAUCAGCAGGGAAGAAAAUGACGGUACCUGACUAAGAAGCCCCGGCUAACUACGUGCCAGCAGCCGCGGUAAUACGUAGGGGGCAAGCGUUAUCCGGAUUUACUGGGUGUAAAGGGAGCGUAGACGGCCAGACAAGUCUGAUGUGAAAGCCCGGGGCCCAACCCCGGAACUGCAUUGGAAACUGCCAGGCUGGAGUGCAGGAGAGGCAAGUGGAAUUCCUAGUGUAGCGGUGAAAUGCGUAGAUAUUAGGAGGAACACCAGUGGCGAAGGCGGCUUGCUGGACUGUAACUGACGUUGAGGCUCGAAAGCGUGGGGAGCAAACAGGAUUAGAUACCCUGGUA